CUUUGGAUGAGGAGCAGCACAGACACCCUUAAGAGAGGGGGGAGGAUGAGAUAGAGUCUCACUAUGUAGCCCUGGUUAGCUGGCCUGGAACUUGCAAUCAGAAAUGAAAAUUCUGAAAAAAAAAAAAAGAAAGAAAGAAAAGAAAUGAAAAUUCUGAACAUGCCCAACCUAAGACUGAUAUCUGAUAUACAACCCUUAUGAAAGAGUCCUUGGACUCCAAGAGAGUCAAGACCCACACGUUGAGAACUGCUGUGUAGAGAGAAGAACUGUACUUUCAGAGCCAUGCUUAAAAAACUGAUCAGGAGAUUCCUUCUACUAGAACCCACAUCCUAGCCACGAGAAAAGAAAGAUGAG
This 354-nucleotide long non-coding RNA is filed under the name Cricetulus griseus (Chinese hamster). Its description in RNAcentral is "lncRNA (ENSCGRG00015036733.1)". Lineage: Eukaryota; Metazoa; Chordata; Mammalia; Rodentia; Cricetidae. The record is from RNAcentral.